GUGCCAGCAGCCGCGGUAAUACGUAGGGGGCAAGCGUUGUCCGGAUUCAUUGGGCGUAAAGCGCGCGCAGGCGGCCGGCAGAGCCCGGCGUGAAAGCUCCCAGCUUAACUGGGAGAGGUCGUCGGGGACCUGGUGGCUAGAGGCCGGUAGGGGUGAGCGGAAUUCCCGGUGUAGUGGUGGAAUGCGUAGAUAUCGGGAGGAACACCGGUGGCGAAGGCGGAUCACUGGGCCGGUCCUGACGCUCAGGCGCGAAAGCGUGGGGAGCGAUCAGGAUUAGAAACCCCAGUAGUCC
This 292-nucleotide ribosomal RNA is filed under the name uncultured bacterium. RNAcentral describes it as "partial 16S ribosomal RNA". It matches the Rfam family "Bacterial small subunit ribosomal RNA", at positions 505 to 796 of the family's 1533-position model. The record is from RNAcentral.